UGGGGAAUAUUGGACAAUGGGCGCAAGCCUGAUCCAGCCAUGCCGCGUGAGUGAUGAAGGCCUUAGGGUUGUAAAGCUCUUUCGCCGGUGAAGAUAAUGACGGUAACCGGAGAAGAAGCCCGGCUAACUUCGUGCCAGCAGCCGCGGUAAUACGAAGGGGGCUAGCGUUGCUCGGAAUCACUGGGUGUAAAGCGCACGUAGGCGGAUCGUUAAGUCAGGGGGUGAAAUCCUGGAGCUCAACUCCAGAACUGCCCUUGAUACUGGCGAUCUCGAGUUCGAGAGAGGUUGGUGGAACUCCGAGUGUAGAGGUGAAAUUCGUAGAUAUUCGGAAGAACACCAGUGGCGAAGGCGGCCAACUGGCUCGAUACUGACGCUGAGGUGCGAAAGCGUGGGGAGCAAAACAGGAUUAGAUACCCUGGUAGUCCACGCCGUAAACGAUGGAUGCUAGCCGUUGGGGGGUUUACCUCUCAGUGGCGCAGCUAACGCCUUAAGCAUCCCGCCUGGGGAGUACGGUCGCAAGAUUAAAACUUAAAUGAAUUGACGGGGUCAUAGCUGUUUCCU
This 561-nucleotide ribosomal RNA is filed under the name uncultured bacterium. RNAcentral describes it as "partial 16S ribosomal RNA". It matches the Rfam family "Bacterial small subunit ribosomal RNA", at positions 355 to 1375 of the family's 1533-position model. The record is from RNAcentral.